Molecule: ribosomal RNA, 440 nt
Filed under: uncultured bacterium
Lineage: Bacteria
Description: partial 16S ribosomal RNA
Rfam family: Bacterial small subunit ribosomal RNA
Source: RNAcentral
CCUACGGGAGGCAGCAGUGGGGGAUAUUGCACAAUGGGGGAAACUCUGAUGCAGCAACGCCGCGUGUGUGAAGAAGGUUUUCGGAUCGUAAACCACUGUUCUUGGAGAAGAUAAUGACGGUAACCAAGGAGAAAGCUCCGGCUAACUACGUGCCAGCAGCCGCGGUAAUACGUAGGUAGCAAGCGUGGCCCGGAUUUGCGGGGGGCAAAGGGUGCGUAGGCGGUCUUGCAAGUCAGACGGGAAAGCCACAGGCUCAAACUGUGGACUGCGUUUGAAACUGUGGGGCUUGAGUGAAGUAGAGGUGGGCGGAAUUCCCGGUGUAGCGGUGAAAUGCGUAGAGAUCGGGAGGAACACCAGUGGCGAAGGCGGCCUACUGGGCUUUAACUGACGCUGAGGCACGAAAGCAUGGGUAGCAAACAGGAUUAGAUACCCCUGUAGUC